RNAcentral lists this long non-coding RNA (202 nucleotides) under Homo sapiens (human). RNAcentral describes it as "HSALNT0369596". The record is from RNAcentral. Lineage: Eukaryota; Metazoa; Chordata; Mammalia; Primates; Hominidae.
UGUCGCCCAGGCUGGAGUGCAGUGGCGCGAUCUCGGCUCAGUGCAAGCUCCGCCUCCCGGGUUCACGCCAUUCUCCUGCCUCAGCCUCCCGAGUAGCUGGGGCUACAGGCGCCCGCCACCAUGCCCGGCUAAUGUUUUGUAUUUUUAGUAGAGAUGGGGUUUCACCGUGUUAGCCAGGAUGGUCUCGAUCUCCUGACCUCGU